Molecule: small nucleolar RNA, 103 nt
Organism: Otolemur garnettii (small-eared galago)
Lineage: Eukaryota; Metazoa; Chordata; Mammalia; Primates; Galagidae
Source: Ensembl
AUCUUUUUGUAGUUCAUAAGCAUGACAACUGGGUUUUCAUGUGCAUGCAUGAGAUGUGCCUCCAACAAAUCUUGUUACAAUGUCGGCACCUUACCAUGUGACA